RNAcentral lists this long non-coding RNA (258 nucleotides) under Nicotiana benthamiana. RNAcentral describes it as "long non-coding RNA (NBEN_LNC037151)". Lineage: Eukaryota; Viridiplantae; Streptophyta; Magnoliopsida; Solanales; Solanaceae. The record is from RNAcentral.
UUCUUUCCAUUUAGGGAGAUCUCCUAGCUAAAAUGACAUCAGCCAUAAAUGUGGGAACAUGUGCCGUCUAUGACGCCCUACUUAAACCAGCGUCCACGACCACUUCCUUCCCAAGCUCUACUCUUCUUCUUUUCCUCGACAAUGGCUCGUCCAUGUUUGAAAAUUCAUCCAAAAGAUGCAGGGUUGGUACUGAAGAUGCUUCCUCCCUCAUGACUAUGUCCUGAGAGCAACCUUCCACUUGAAUCGGUUGAGGAUGAC